GGGGAGGCAGCAGUGGGGAAUAUUGCACAAUCGGGGGAAACCCUGAUGCAGCCAUGACCGCGUGUGUGAAGAAGGCCUUCGGGUUGUAAAGCACUUUCAGUAGGGAGGAAGGUAGUGUAGUUAACACCUGCAUUAUUUGACGUUACCUACAGAAGAAGCACCGGCUAACUCCGUGCCAGCAGCCGCGGUAAUACGGGAGGGUGCGAGCGUUAAUCGGAAUUACUGGGCGUAAAGCGCAUGCAGGCGGCCUGUUAAGUCAGAUGUGAAAGACCCGGGGCUUAACCUACGGAAUUGCAUUUGAAACUGGCAGGCUAGAGUCUUGUAGAGGGGGGUAGGAAUUUCAGGUGUAGCGGUGAAAUGCGUAGAGAUCUGAAGGAAUACCAGUGGCGAAGGCGGCCCCCUGGACAAAGACUGACGCUCAGAUGCGAAAGCGUGGGGAGCAAACAGGAUUAGAUACCCUGGUAG
Molecule: ribosomal RNA, 465 nt
Filed under: uncultured bacterium
Lineage: Bacteria
Description: bacterial SSU rRNA
Rfam family: Bacterial small subunit ribosomal RNA
Source: RNAcentral